UAGGGAAUCUUCCACAAUGGACGAAAGUCUGAUGGAGCAACGCCGCGUGAGUGAAGAAGGGUUUCGGCUCGUAAACUCUGUUGUUAAAGAAGAACAUAUCUGAGAGUAACUGUUCAGGUAUUGACGGUAUUUAACCAGAAAGCCACGGCUAACUACGUGCCAC
Molecule: ribosomal RNA, 163 nt
Filed under: uncultured bacterium
Lineage: Bacteria
Description: partial 16S rRNA
Rfam family: Bacterial small subunit ribosomal RNA
Source: RNAcentral